Molecule: ribosomal RNA, 512 nt
Filed under: Enterococcus faecium
Lineage: Bacteria; Bacillati; Bacillota; Bacilli; Lactobacillales; Enterococcaceae
Description: bacterial SSU rRNA
Rfam family: Bacterial small subunit ribosomal RNA
Source: RNAcentral
GAGGGUUUCCGCCCUUCAGUGCUGCAGCUAACGCAUUAAGCACUCCGCCUGGGGAGUACGACCGCAAGGUUGAAACUCAAAGGAAUUGACGGGGGCCCGCACAAGCGGUGGAGCAUGUGGUUUAAUUCGAAGCAACGCGAAGAACCUUACCAGGUCUUGACAUCCUUUGACCACUCUAGAGAUAGAGCUUCCCCUUCGGGGGCAAAGUGACAGGUGGUGCAUGGUUGUCGUCAGCUCGUGUCGUGAGAUGUUGGGUUAAGUCCCGCAACGAGCGCAACCCUUAUUGUUAGUUGCCAUCAUUCAGUUGGGCACUCUAGCAAGACUGCCGGUGACAAACCGGAGGAAGGUGGGGAUGACGUCAAAUCAUCAUGCCCCUUAUGACCUGGGCUACACACGUGCUACAAUGGGAAGUACAACGAGUUGCGAAGUCGCGAGGCUAAGCUAAUCUCUUAAAGCUUCUCUCAGUUCGGAUUGCAGGCUGCAACUCGCCUGCAUGAAGCCGGAAUCGCUGU